CAGGAGAUAGUUUAACUAGAAUAUCAGCUUUGGGUGUUGAUGGUGGGGCAUAAGCCUCUCUCUUGA
Molecule: transfer RNA, 66 nt
Filed under: Myotis albescens
Lineage: Eukaryota; Metazoa; Chordata; Mammalia; Chiroptera; Vespertilionidae
Description: tRNA-Pro
Source: RNAcentral